RNAcentral lists this ribosomal RNA (528 nucleotides) under uncultured bacterium. RNAcentral's name for it is "bacterial SSU rRNA". It matches the Rfam family "Bacterial small subunit ribosomal RNA", at positions 980 to 1509 of the family's 1533-position model. The record is from RNAcentral.
CUUGACAUCCAGCGAACUUGGCAGAGAUGCCUUGGUGCCUUCGGGAACGCUGAGACAGGUGCUGCAUGGCUGUCGUCAGCUCGUGUUGUGAAAUGUUGGGUUAAGUCCGCAACGAGCGCAACCCUUACCCUUUGUUGCCAGCGAUUCGGUCGGGAACUCAAAGGAGACUGCCGGUGAUAAACCGGAGGAAGGUGGGGAUGACGUCAAGUCAUCAUGGCCCUUACGAGUAGGGCUACACACGUGCUACAAUGGCGCAUACAAAGAGAAGCGACCUCGCGAGAGCAAGCGGACCUCAUAAAGUGCGUCGUAGUCCGGAUCGGAGUCUGCAACUCGACUCCGUGAAGUCGGAAUCGCUAGUAAUCGUGGAUCAGAAUGCCACGGUGAAUACGUUCCCGGGCCUUGUACACACCGCCCGUCACACCAUGGGAGUGGGUUGCAAAAGAAGUAGGUAGCUUAACCUCCGGGAGGGCGCUUACCACUUUGUGAUUCAUGACUGGGGUGAAGUCGUAACAAGGUAGGCGUAGCGAG